UGGUACUUAAUCUAAAACUAUCCUAUCAGGAGUAUCUAGAAUUAAGACACUGAGUGGGAAGAGAGAUACAAAUAUGUCCAUAGAAAUAUGGAAGGUUUUAAGCCAGAAAAUCCUUAAAUGAAGGUCUGUAGCAGUAUCUCUCCAGAUAUUUAAAAAUACAAUGAUCACCAAAAUAUGCUAUAAAUGUUUAAAAUGGACUCCUAUCGAAAGUUCAGAGGUUAAAGAUGAUGUUGUUUAUGGUACUCCUAGAAAUUGAUUCUUCUUUAUUUUUUCUUUUCGUUGAGUUUAAUUGCCACUAGAAUUAUUUUCAAGUUAAGAAGAUAAGAGGAUUGACUUUUUAAACUUCAAAAUGAACUUCCCUGCUGUGACUGACUAUAUUCCCCAGUAUGGAGAAUUAUGAGGAACCUGUUGAACAGAAAAGUCUCUGACCAUAAUCAAGGUCACACAGUCAGAAGGCAUCCCAGCAGACACUCCACACUAGCCAAUGUGGAUUCAGAGACUGCACCCUUGAUUACUGUGUUGUUUGAUGAUACUAGUGUUUAAAAACAUCUGAGGAAGAUAGAAAACAUUUUAUCUUUCAAGAUAAAAAAAGAAAAGCUCUUUGCCAACAGAAAACAUAAUAUGCGGACUCUAUGGCUAUUGUUUCUGAAAAAUAUAAGAGAUGAUUACAUCACAUUGUGUAUUCUGUAGGAAAAACACUGUAAUGCUUAUAUGGCUAAUAAUGGAAUGAUCUAAGUCAAUAUAUUGUGCAGUUUUGAGUGACAGAAGAAUUACACCAUUAUUCUUUGUAUUUUGGUUUCUGCACUAAGUUAGUCAUGUUCACUGUUUCAUCAUCAAUUAUCAUUCACUCAUUUUAUAAAAUUUUAGCAUCUGCA
RNAcentral lists this long non-coding RNA (875 nucleotides) under Homo sapiens (human). RNAcentral's name for it is "novel transcript". The record is from RNAcentral. Lineage: Eukaryota; Metazoa; Chordata; Mammalia; Primates; Hominidae.